Molecule: long non-coding RNA, 966 nt
Filed under: Ananas comosus (pineapple)
Lineage: Eukaryota; Viridiplantae; Streptophyta; Magnoliopsida; Poales; Bromeliaceae
Description: long non-coding RNA (ACOM_LNC037736)
Source: RNAcentral
UUUUUUUUUAUUCCCAGGAAUAACCCAAUUUUCAUCCAAACGUAAAAUUGAUUUAAUUCCCACUUAUACCUCAAUUUAUACCUAUCCCUGGAAUAGUCACUUUUUGCUUAUUUCCGAACCAAACGAUUAAGACUUUUGUAGGGUUAACUUAUAAAAGUUGAACUUUACAGGAAUAUAUUUGUAAUUCACUAUAUUUACGGGACCUGUAAGCAAUUAACCUUUUUUUUUUUAAAUCGACAGCCUUCAUUUUUAAUUCUUUUUUAAUUGCAUAAUUUUAGUAAUUAAAUUAUGGAGUCAUUUUUAGCCAGUUCAGUUAGUACUAGGACUUUUCAUUAAUUUAAAUUAUAUAGUUUUUUUUUCUUUUUCGUAAGAUAAAAAUAUACAAAAUUUAUGUGAAUUCUGAACUAUUUUGAUUUGACUGUUAAUCUUUAAAAUUUUAAUUUAACUAUCUAUCUUUUCAAUUUAUAUGAUUUUAGCCGGUCGCAGCACUUUAAUAUCAAACUUUGAAUUCACGUUGACUUCAUUAGAAUAAAUAAUUAGCUUAAAUUUUGAAAAUCAAUGUAUCAUAGGCUAAAUCUUUAACUCUCACGAUUUCAAAUAGUUCCAUAUAUAAUAUGUUGGGCGGUGCCAAAAUCGAAAAAAGGAGUGGGAUGGAUAAUCUGCGGGCGAAUCAUUAUACCCACGGGAUAUAUAUGGGCAUGGCUAAAAUAUGCCUGCAAAUUUUUACGUAGCCAACAUCUUUAUUCAUAUCUGCCCGCACGCGGGUGGGCGGGCGGGUAUGCGGGUUACUCGUAAUUUUUUUUUUCUUUUUUACUUCUAUACUUUCUAAAUACAAAACACACACACACAUAUAUAUAAUUUUUAAAAGCAUAACAUAACUCAUCGAACACUACACACACGCACACACAUCACACUAAUUUUUAAAAGCAUAACAUAACUCAUCGAAAACACACACACACACACACA